This 929-nucleotide ribosomal RNA is filed under the name Aerococcus urinaeequi. RNAcentral's name for it is "bacterial SSU rRNA". It matches the Rfam family "Bacterial small subunit ribosomal RNA", at positions 72 to 981 of the family's 1533-position model. The record is from RNAcentral. Lineage: Bacteria; Bacillati; Bacillota; Bacilli; Lactobacillales; Aerococcaceae.
UGAAGUGCUUGCACUUCUGACGUUAGCGGCGAACGGGUGAGUAACACGUAAGGAAUCUACCUAUAAGCGGGGGAUAACAUUCGGAAACGGGUGCUAAUACCGCAUAAUAUCUUCUUCCGCAUGGAAGAAGAUUGAAAGACGGCUCUGCUGUCACUUAUAGAUGACCUUGCGGUGCAUUAGUUAGUUGGUGGGGUAACGGCCUACCAAGACGAUGAUGCAUAGCCGACCUGAGAGGGUGAUCGGCCACAUUGGGACUGAGACACGGCCCAAACUCCUACGGGAGGCAGCAGUAGGGAAUCUUCCGCAAUGGGCGAAAGCCUGACGGAGCAAUGCCGCGUGAGUGAAGAAGGCCUUCGGGUCGUAAAACUCUGUUAUAAGAGAAGAACAAAUUGUAGAGUAACUGCUACAGUCUUGACGGUAUCUUAUCAGAAAGCCACGGCUAACUACGUGCCAGCAGCCGCGGUAAUACGUAGGUGGCAAGCGUUGUCCGGAUUUAUUGGGCGUAAAGGGAGCGCAGGUGGUUUCUUAAGUCUGAUGUGAAAGCCCACGGCUUAACCGUGGAGGGUCAUUGGAAACUGGGAAACUUGAGUACAGAAGAGGAAUGUGGAACUCCAUGUGUAGCGGUGGAAUGCGUAGAUAUAUGGAAGAACACCAGUGGCGAAGGCGACAUUCUGGUCUGUUACUGACACUGAGGCUCGAAAGCGUGGGGAGCAAACAGGAUUAGAUACCCUGGUAGUCCACGCCGUAAACGAUGAGUGCUAGGUGUUGGGAGGGUUUCCGCCCUUCAGUGCCGCAUUUAACGCAUUAAGCACUCCGCCUGGGGGAGUACGACCGCAAGGUUGAAACUCAAAGGAAUUGACGGGGACCCGCACAAGCGGUGGAACAAGGUGGUUUAAUUCGAAGCAACCCCGAAAAACCUUACCAAGUCU